AUUGAACGCUGGCGGCAGGCCUAACACAUGCAAGUCGAGCGGAGCGGCGGACGGGCGAGUAAUGCCUAGGAAUCUGCCUGGCCGUGGGGGAUAACGUCCGGAAACGGGCGCUAAUACCGCAUACUAUCAGAUGAGCCUAGGGCGGAGUAGCUAGUUGGUGGGGUAGAGGCGUAACAAGGCGACGAUGCGUAACUGGUCUGAGAGGAUGAUCAGUCAAACGGGAACUGAGACACGGUCCAAACGCCUACGGGAGGCAGCGGUGGGGAAUAGGGGACAAUGGGCGAAAGGCUGAUAGAGCGAUGCCGCGUGGGUGAGGAAGGUCUGCGGGUUGUAGGGCAGUUUAAGUUGGGAGGCGUUACCUACAGAAUAAGCACCGGCUAACUUCGUGCCAGCAGCCGCGGUAAUUC
RNAcentral lists this ribosomal RNA (407 nucleotides) under uncultured bacterium. RNAcentral describes it as "partial 16S ribosomal RNA". It matches the Rfam family "Bacterial small subunit ribosomal RNA", at positions 29 to 526 of the family's 1533-position model. The record is from RNAcentral.